GAUGAACGCUGGCGGCGUGCCUAAUACAUGCCAGUCGAGCGAACGGACGAGAAGCUUGCUUUUCUGAUGUUAGCGGCGGACGGGUGAGUAACACGUGGAUAACCUACCUAUAAGACUGGGAUAACUUCGGGAAACCGGAGCUAAUACCGGAUAAUAUUUUGAACCGCAUGGUUCAAAAGUGAAAGACGGUCUUGCUGUCACUUAUAGAUGGAUCCGCGCUGCAUUAGCUAGUUGGUAAGGUAACGGCUUACCAAGGCAACGAUGCAUAGCCGACCUGAGAGGGUGAUCGGCCACACUGGAACUGAGACACGGUCCAGACUCCUACGGGAGGCAGCAGUAGGGAAUCUUCCGCAAUGGGCGAAAGCCUGACGGAGCAACGCCGCGUGAGUGAUGAAGGUCUUCGGAUCGUAAAACUCUGUUAUUAGGGAAGAACAUAUGUGUAAGUAACUGUGCACAUCUUGACGGUACCUAAUCAGAAAGCCACGGCUGACUACGUG
RNAcentral lists this ribosomal RNA (497 nucleotides) under uncultured bacterium. RNAcentral's name for it is "partial 16S ribosomal RNA". It matches the Rfam family "Bacterial small subunit ribosomal RNA", at positions 28 to 507 of the family's 1533-position model. The record is from RNAcentral.